ACGAGUGGCGAACGGGUGAGUAAUACAUCGGAGCGUGCCCAGUAAUGGGNGAUAGCCCGGCGAAAGCCGGAUUAAUACCGCAUACGCCCUGAGGGGGAAAGUGGGGGACCGCAAGGCCUCACGUUAUUGGAGCGGCCGAUGGCUGAUUAGCUAGUUGGUGAGGUAAAGGCUCACCAAGGCGACGAUCAGUAGCUGGUCUGAGAGGACGAUCAGCCACACUGGGACUGAGACACGGCCCAGACUCCUACGGGAGGCAGCAGUGGGGAAUUUUGGACAAUGGGGGCAACCCUGAUCCAGCAAUGCCGCGUG
RNAcentral lists this ribosomal RNA (309 nucleotides) under uncultured bacterium. Its description in RNAcentral is "bacterial SSU rRNA". It matches the Rfam family "Bacterial small subunit ribosomal RNA", at positions 91 to 403 of the family's 1533-position model. The record is from RNAcentral.